AGGCUAUCUUUCUGAGCUUCCACUACUGUAAGGUGGAGUCAUAGUGUUAGAGUAGGUAGCUAAGCAGACAUGAGCAGGACAGGAGAGGACUCCCCACCCCCCCGCCCACAGGAAUGUCAGGCAACCAUCAGGUGAUGGUCAGGCAGUUGUUAACUGUCAGUCUAAAAUAAUAAUAGGGCAUAGGUGGCACCAAGGAAAGGAAGACUCCUAAUAGAAAACACCUGAAGCUGGUGAGCAGCCGCUUCCUGGAACACUCGACUGGUAAGGGGAGAAAUGCCUCAAAUGAGCAUGUGCACAACUUCAGUAAACAUGCUGUGCAUGUGGCCCCUCCCAAGUGCCCGCAGGCCACCACGCAAGUGGACAGCCCUGGACAGCCAGCCCCUAGGGAAGAAUCAAGGGAGGAGAAACAGAAGCCCUGGAACUGUGCUAGUAUAUAAAACCCCAAGUCAAGCGCUGAAUGGCACACUUGGAUCUCUCAAGUCACCUGCUUGGCCCCCUUCCAAGUGUACUUUACUUCCAUUUGUUCCUGCUCUAAAACUUUUUAAUAAACUUUCACUCCUGCUCUAAAA
This is a long non-coding RNA of Gorilla gorilla gorilla (western lowland gorilla), 569 nucleotides long. RefSeq lists it as uncharacterized. The transcript has 2 exons. The record is from RefSeq and is a predicted model, not a curated record. Lineage: Eukaryota; Metazoa; Chordata; Mammalia; Primates; Hominidae.